This 95-nucleotide transfer RNA is filed under the name Annulohypoxylon moriforme. Its description in RNAcentral is "tRNA-Ser". It matches the Rfam family "tRNA". Rfam says of the family: Transfer RNA (tRNA) molecules are approximately 80 nucleotides in length. Their secondary structure includes four short double-helical elements and three loops (D, anti-codon, and T loops). The record is from RNAcentral. Lineage: Eukaryota; Fungi; Ascomycota; Sordariomycetes; Xylariales; Hypoxylaceae.
GGCGCAGUGGCAGAGUGGUUAUUGCGUAUGACUAGAAUAUAUUCCUAUUCUAUCAUAUUCCCUUGGGAGCGCCUGUUCGAAUCAGGUCUGCGUCG